GGAAUAUUGCGCAAUGGAGGAAACUCUGACGCAGUGACGCCGCGUAUAGGAAGAAGGUUUUCGGAUUGUAAACUAUUGUCGUUAGGGAAGAUACAAGACAGUACCUAAGGAGGAAGCCCCGGCUAACUAUGUGCCAGCAGCCGCGGUAAGACAUAGGGGGCAAGCGUUGUCCGGAAUUAUUGGGUGUAAAGGGUGCGUAGACGGAGGAGCAAGUUGGUUGUGAAAUCCCUCGGCUUAACUGAGGAACUGCAACUGAAACUACUUCCCUUGAGUGUCGGAGGGGAAAGUGGAAUUCCUAGUGUAGCGGUGAAAUGCGUAGAUAUUAGGAGGAACACCGGUGGCGAAGGCGACUUUCUGGGCGAUAACUGACGUUGAGGCACGAAAGUGUGGGGAGCAAACA
Molecule: ribosomal RNA, 400 nt
Filed under: uncultured bacterium
Lineage: Bacteria
Description: bacterial SSU rRNA
Rfam family: Bacterial small subunit ribosomal RNA
Source: RNAcentral